CCCUUAGAUGUUCUGGGCUGCACGCGCGCUACACUGAUGCGUUCAACGAGUUUAUGACCUUGCCCGAUAGGGUUGGGUAAUCUUUUUAAAUCGCAUCGUGAUGGGGAUAGAUUAUUGCAAUUAUUAAUCUUCAACGAGGAAUUCCUAGUAAGCGCGAGUCAUCAGCUCGUGCUGAUUACGUCCCUGCCCUUUGUACACACCGCCCGUCGCUACUACCGAUUGAACGUUUUAGUGAGGUAUUUGGACUGGACCUUCGGAGGUUCGCGCCUCCGUUGCUGUUCGGGAAGACUCCCAAACUUGAGCGUUUAGAGGAAGUAAAANUCGUANCA
Molecule: ribosomal RNA, 329 nt
Filed under: uncultured eukaryote
Lineage: Eukaryota
Description: partial 18S ribosomal RNA
Rfam family: Eukaryotic small subunit ribosomal RNA
Source: RNAcentral